GGAGUUAGCCGGUGCUUCUUCUGCGAGUAACGUCACAGAUGUAAGGUAUUAACUUACACCCUUUCCUCCUCGCUGAAAGUGCUUUACAACCCGAAGGCCUUCUUCACACACGCGGCAUGGCUGCAUCAGGGUUUCCCCCAUUGUGCAAUAUUCCCCACUGCUGCCUCCCGUAGGAGUCUGGGCCGUGUCUCAGUCCCAGUGUGGCUGAUCAUCCUCUCAGACCAGCUAGGGAUCGUCGCCUAGGUGAGCCUUUACCUCACCUACUAGCUAAUCCCACCUGGGCUUAUCCAUCAGCGCAAGGCCCGAAGGUCCCCUGCUUUCCCCCGUAGGGAGUAUGCGGUAUUAGCAGUCGUUUCCAACUGUUAUCCCCACAAAUGGGCAAAUUCCCAGGCAUUACUCACCCGUCCGCCGCUCGUCAUCUUCAAAAGCAAGCUUUUGAAAUGUUACCGCUCGACUUGCAUGUGUUAGGCCUGCCGCCAGCGUCAUCUGAGCGAGAGUACAACUACUACGA
This 511-nucleotide ribosomal RNA is filed under the name uncultured bacterium. RNAcentral's name for it is "partial 16S ribosomal RNA". The record is from RNAcentral.